RNAcentral lists this long non-coding RNA (377 nucleotides) under Dasypus novemcinctus (nine-banded armadillo). RNAcentral's name for it is "lncRNA (ENSDNOG00000052900.1)". Lineage: Eukaryota; Metazoa; Chordata; Mammalia; Cingulata; Dasypodidae. The record is from RNAcentral.
UGAGAACCCUAAAAGACUGGGUUGACUUCUUCUACCUCUAGGUGGUCUAAAAUCUCUGAGAAACCAAGACAUUGAUGUUUGUAAUCUUUUUUGUAUAGCACAGUGAUAGCACAUAACUGGCGCUCAAUAAAUGCAAGAUGAAUGGAUGAAUGAAUGAAGCACGCCCAUCUGGAGGCAAAGAGGCUGAAUUCUGCAUCCGGGGUUUCACGCAAACCUACCAGAGCCGCCAGCAUCAACACAGGAGUCCAGAGCUAAAAAGACACAAAAAAUGUAGCUGUGGGAAUUCGCAGAAAUUGAAAUGAGGGCUCUGGGCUCUCGUGGCCUACGGAGGUAAGAUUUCUAGCCAAGCUGAAGUAGAUCUCAAUGGUACAAGGUGU